GACGAACCGUGCGAACGUUGUUCGGAAUCACUGGGCUUAAAGGGCGCGUAGGCGGGCUGCCGCGUCCGGGGUGAAAUCCCACGGCUCAACCGUGGAACGGCCUCGGAUACGGGCGGCCUCGAGGGGGGUAGGGGCAUCUGGAACUGUGAGUGGAGCGGUGAAAUGCGUUGAUAUUCACAGGAACUCCGGUGGCGAAGGCGAGGUGCUGGACCCCAUCUGACGCUGAGGCGCGAAAGCCAGGGGAGCGAACGGG
RNAcentral lists this ribosomal RNA (253 nucleotides) under uncultured bacterium. RNAcentral describes it as "partial 16S ribosomal RNA". It matches the Rfam family "Bacterial small subunit ribosomal RNA", at positions 524 to 776 of the family's 1533-position model. The record is from RNAcentral.